RNAcentral lists this ribosomal RNA (428 nucleotides) under uncultured bacterium. RNAcentral's name for it is "partial 16S ribosomal RNA". It matches the Rfam family "Bacterial small subunit ribosomal RNA", at positions 354 to 796 of the family's 1533-position model. The record is from RNAcentral.
GUGGGGAAUAUUGGGCAAUGGGCGAAAGCCUGACCCAGCAACGCCGCGUGAGGGAAGAAGGUUUUCGGAUUGUAAACCUCUGUCCUUGGGGACGAAGAAAGUGACGGUACCCAGGGAGGAAGCCCCGGCUAACUACGUGCCAGCAGCCGCGGUAAUACGUAGGGGGCGAGCGUUGUUCGGAAUGACUGGGCGUAAAGGGCGCGUAGGCGGCCGAUUAAGUCUGGAGUGACAGUCCUGUUGUUAAGGCGGGAAUUGCUUUGGAGACUGGUUGGCGUGAGUGCGGAAGAGGUAAGUGGAAUGCCCAGUGUAGCGGUGAAAUGCGUAGAGAUUGGGAGGAACACCAGUGGCGAAGGCGACUUACUGGGCCGUAACUGACGCUGAAGCGCGAAAGCGUGGGGAGCGAACAGGAUUAGAAACCCUGGUAGUCC